UACGUAGGGUCCGAGCGUUGUCCGGAAUUAUUGGGCGUAAGGGGCUCGUAGGCGGUCCGUCACGUCGGGAGUGAAAACUCAGGGCUCAACCCUGAGCGUGCUUCCGAUACGGGCGGACUAGAGGUAUGCAGGGGAGAACGGAAUUCCUGGUGUAGCGGUGGAAUGCGCAGAUAUCAGGAGGAACACCGGUGGCGAAGGCGGUUCUCUGGGCAUUACCUGACGCUGAGGAGCGAAAGCAUGGGGAGCGAACAGG
Molecule: ribosomal RNA, 253 nt
Filed under: uncultured bacterium
Lineage: Bacteria
Description: partial 16S ribosomal RNA
Rfam family: Bacterial small subunit ribosomal RNA
Source: RNAcentral